Molecule: long non-coding RNA, 1197 nt
Filed under: Heterocephalus glaber (naked mole-rat)
Lineage: Eukaryota; Metazoa; Chordata; Mammalia; Rodentia; Bathyergidae
Description: lncRNA (ENSHGLG00100050639.1)
Source: RNAcentral
GGAGCUGUCCCUGCUGCCCUUGAGAGCCCUACCAUCACCGCCAACUUUAGCCUCUUUGCUCCCUUUGGCAGUGGCUGCCAAAUCAGUGGGGCAGAGCCAGCUGAGAGGGGGCCUUUGGAAGUGGGGCACUGCCCACUGGCCCUGACUACUACUCCCAGCUGCUUACCAAGAAUGACCUGAGUAACCCGCCGACACCACCCUCGUCGCUGCCCCCCACCCCCGCCCUGGCGGUGCAGCAGAAGAUGGUGAAUGGCGUGACUUCCCUCCGAAGAUCUGGGGAGCACCCAAGGAUCCAGCCUCUGCCAGGGACACUGAAGGGCCGUUGAGGGGUGGUAAGCGAAGAGGUGACUGCCUUUCCCAGUGGUAUUCAGGGGCCUGGGUCCGAGCAGUUAGGGUAGCCUGCCUCACAGUGUAAGAAGCAAGUGGGUUGUAUGCUACUGUGCCACUGCAGGACAGGCUGGCUGGGUGGGAAGGACCUCUUCAGGAUCGAUUUGCUGGGGACAAGGAUGGGCUUCUGGAAUCUGUUGCCAAAGCAAUAGGGGAGCUUAGUUGCAGGGAGAAUCUGAGCAAAGCUCUGUGUAGAACAAGCAGUCCAGCUUUCGUGAGUAUAGCGCUACAGUCCGAUCUAGAUUUGAACUCUGGUACCUGUAUAUAUUUAGCUGCAUUACUUCAGACAAGUGAUUUGAUUGGCUUAUGUGAGCCUCAGAUUCCCCUCUUAAAUUGGGUAUUUAAUAUUCAUCAGUGAUUAUAAACCCAUGCCUAUAAACCCGGCUACUAAGGAGGUUAAGGCAGAAGGAUGGCAAGUUUCAGUCCAGCCUGGACAACUUAGUGAGGCCCUGUCUCAAAAUAAGAAAAAGCCGGGCGUGGUGGUGCACACCUGUAAUCCCAGCAUUCAGGAGGCUGAGGCAGGAGGAUUGCCACAAGUUCAAGACCAGCUUGGGCUACAAAGUCAGUUCAUGGGAAGCCUGAACUGCUUAGUGAGACCUUGCCUCAAAAAAUAAAAAAAAUAAAAAAGAUGGGAGAUCACUCCCUAGAUUUAGUCCCUAGCACUGAAGAAAAAAAAAGAGAGUGGAAGAAAAUUUAAAAAUUGAGCUAGUGGAGUUGUUAAAAGAUUAUUUAAAAAGAAUGUACCUAAAUUCCAGUGUUUGGCAUAUGGAAAGGGUCAAUAAAUGUCUGCCCCAAAUUCGGAGGUGAGUG